UACAGAGACUGCAAGCGUUAUUCGGAUUCACUGGGCGUAAAGGGUGCGCAGGCGGCCAAGUGUGUUAGGCGUGAAAGCCCGGGGCUUAACCCCGGAAUUGCACCUAAAAACUACAUGGCUAGAGCAUUGGAGAGGGUAGCGGAAUUCACGGUGUAGCAGUGAAAUGCGUAGAUAUCGUGAGGAACACCAGAGGCGAAGGCGGCUACCUGGACAAUUGCUGACGCUCAGGCACGAAAGCGUGGGGAGCAAAAGGG
Molecule: ribosomal RNA, 254 nt
Filed under: uncultured bacterium
Lineage: Bacteria
Description: partial 16S ribosomal RNA
Rfam family: Bacterial small subunit ribosomal RNA
Source: RNAcentral